RNAcentral lists this RNase P RNA (312 nucleotides) under Halorubrum ruber. RNAcentral describes it as "RNase P RNA component". It matches the Rfam family "Archaeal RNase P". Rfam says of the family: Ribonuclease P (RNase P) is a ubiquitous endoribonuclease, found in archaea, bacteria and eukarya as well as chloroplasts and mitochondria. Lineage: Archaea; Methanobacteriati; Methanobacteriota; Halobacteria; Halobacteriales; Haloferacaceae. The record is from RNAcentral.
GACAGAGGGAGCCCGACUCCCGUGCCCUUGGCAUGAGGAAAGUCCCCCACCGGCCGGACGGGCGACCGGGCACACGCCCGGAGUCGGAGACGGCUGGCUCUGGAACAGCAACGACACCCCCCGCCUCGACCGAUGAGUCGAGCGAACCGACCCGCAAGGGGAGGGAGUUAACCCGACGAGGGCCGACGGGCGGGAACGGAUGGAACGGCGAAUCCUCGCCGGUGCAAGUCCGCGCCACAAGGUAGUCCGGCCACGGCGCGGACGCUCAGCCGAAUGUCGGGACGAACCGAAGGGGGCUUACUCCCCUCAGUC